UAUUUCUCCCUACGGGGAAGGAUGAGAAGCUUCGAUUAAGGUUCGAUUCGAGCGCUGCGAGAAAGCGUUGCCGCAGGCAACGACCCGAAGGGCGAGGAGCAAUACGACGAGUUAUCCUUACCCCAUACGCA
Molecule: small RNA, 131 nt
Filed under: Salmonella enterica subsp. salamae
Lineage: Bacteria; Pseudomonadati; Pseudomonadota; Gammaproteobacteria; Enterobacterales; Enterobacteriaceae
Description: RtT sRNA
Rfam family: RtT RNA
About the family: This family represents a bacterial cis-regulatory element known as RtT RNA. The exact function of RtT is unknown although it is thought that it may be involved in changing the cellular response in relation to amino acid starvation.
Source: RNAcentral